CAGAACUCAGGUACGGAUGCCUCAUAAGAUCUUCACUGUGAUCAGCUGGUCUGGGAAUGAAGGAAACUACAUUGCCAAAAAUCUGAUGGUCCACGCGCCCACUGUCAGUGGCUGGAGAUCUACCAGGCAUGUGUCCCUCUCUGACAAUGUGAAGACUGUGCUGACAGUGAAGACAGAGCUGAAGUCUGUUCAUGUUGAUGCUGUUGGGUCUUAAUUAAAGCUCACUUUUCACAGAAACCAUGUUAAUCAAUACAACAUCUACAAUCAGGUUGCAUUGGUGGCCAUAAAUAUUUUGGGUGACUCUGUGGAUGGACAUGACAUGGGGAUGGCAGUAAG
Carassius auratus (goldfish) is the source of this 336-nucleotide long non-coding RNA. RefSeq lists it as uncharacterized. The record is from RefSeq and is a predicted model, not a curated record. The transcript has 3 exons. Lineage: Eukaryota; Metazoa; Chordata; Actinopteri; Cypriniformes; Cyprinidae.